CGCAAGGAAAGUUCAGUACCUUCCUAAAGAAUUGCUAAAAUAUUCAAUUCUUUUUACAUAGCAGAACUUCAUACACUGCUAUUUCUCCUGGCUGGUUAAUUAUGACUAAUGCAGCUUGUAAAUUUAUAUUCAUAUUUUUAUUUUGAUGUCUUUCAGGGUUUUUUUUUUCCAUCAUAUUAAGCAUUUGUCAGGCUGCUUCUUUAUUGGAACACUAUGAGGAAUGAUUCCCCAGAAGGUUAGUCUCUUGAGAGGAGACUUGCAGGGAAUUGGGAAUGUUUUGAAAUUUCAAGUACAUUCUAAGAAAAAAAACUCCAUCCAUAUCAGACUUUUUUAGGGAAUUAUCACAUGUCAAGGCCCUGAUUUUGAAAGUGGCUUGAAAUGAAUGAGCUUGUAGGCAUAUGCAGAGCCAGAUGCUAAUAGCACUCUGUUGUAGCUCUGCACAGGAAAAUGAAGGGAAAGCUCUUGAAAUAAUUUUAUAUGAACAGUCUGUUUCACACAAGAAAAAGAGGGGGGGAAAAAGAAAGAAAGAAACCUGAAACUCCUCAAGCCCAUUGUAAGGAUAUCCAACUUUAUGUGGUCUCUUCUACCUUCCAAAAUGAUCAUCAAAAUUCAGUGGGAUGCUGAAUCAAAAUUUUCAUGUCUCCAGCUUCCUUCAACGAUUCUGGGCUGCGACUUCUCAUGUUGCAGAUCUGAAAUCAUGAAUUACCAGCCAGCUGGAACAGCAGGAGAAGGAAAGUUCAUACAUACCCUGAGCUCCAGUUAGUCACUGUGAGAAGUGCACAGGAGCUCCGCUGUUUCCGUCUAAUGCUGGCAGAGAAA
Molecule: long non-coding RNA, 819 nt
Filed under: Zonotrichia albicollis (white-throated sparrow)
Lineage: Eukaryota; Metazoa; Chordata; Aves; Passeriformes; Passerellidae
Description: lncRNA (ENSZALG00000003414.1)
Source: RNAcentral